Molecule: ribosomal RNA, 497 nt
Filed under: uncultured bacterium
Lineage: Bacteria
Description: partial 16S ribosomal RNA
Rfam family: Bacterial small subunit ribosomal RNA
Source: RNAcentral
GACGAACGCUGGCGGCGUGCCUAAUACAUGCAAGUUGAGCGCUGAAGGUUGGUCCUUCUACCAACUGGAUGUGCAGCGCACGGGUGAGUAACGCGUGGGGAAUCUGCCUUUGAGCGGGGGACCACAUUUGGAAACGAAUGCUAAUACCGCAUAAAAACUUUAAACACAAGUUUUACGUUUGAAAGAUGCAAUCGCAUCACUCAAAGAUGAUCCCGCGUUGUAUUAGCUAGUUGGUGAGGUAAAGGCUCACCAAGGCGAUGAUACAUAGCCGACCUGAGAGGGUGAUCGGCCACAUUGGGACUGAGACACGGCCCAGACUCCUACGGGAGGCAGCAGUAGGGAAUCUUCGGCAAUAGACGAAAGUCUGACCGAGCAACGCCGCGUGAGUGAAGAAGGUUUUCGGAUCGUAAAGCUCUGUUGGUAGAGAAGAACGUUGGUGAGAGUGGAAAGCUCAUCAAGUGACGGUAACUUCCCAGAAAGGGACGGCUAACUACGUG